GUGGGAAGUUAAAGGUGAUGUUUCUGGCCCAACUCAAAUUCCAAUGGCUUGUAAGGAUUCUGUAGCAAUGUUUUUCAUGUUUGAUCUCACAAGUAGAUGUACACUCAGUAGUGUCCUUAGCUGGCAUCAACAAGCACGUCAAUGGAAUCAGACAGCAAUUCCUGUAAUGAUAGGGACAAAGUUUGAUGAUUUUGUGAAAUUGCCAUUGGAUCUUCAAUGGACAAUUGCAAGUCAGGCAAGAGCAUAUGCAAAGGCACUAAAUGCACCAUUAUUUUUCUCUAGUGCAACAUACAACAUUAAU
Molecule: unclassified non-coding RNA, 301 nt
Filed under: Hevea brasiliensis (rubber tree)
Lineage: Eukaryota; Viridiplantae; Streptophyta; Magnoliopsida; Malpighiales; Euphorbiaceae
Source: RNAcentral